Molecule: ribosomal RNA, 107 nt
Filed under: Candidatus Magasanikbacteria bacterium RIFOXYD2_FULL_36_9
Lineage: Bacteria; Candidatus Magasanikiibacteriota
Also listed under: 1 other name
Source: RNAcentral
CUUGGUGACACAAGCGACGAGGCCACACCUGUUCCCAUACCGAACACAGAAGUUAAGCUCGUCUGCGCUGAUGAUAGCCGUAAGGCAAAAGUAGGCCGUCGCCAGGA